UUACCAUAGAUUUCUAUAUAUAUUACCUGUGCUGGUUACAAUCGGCCAUAAUGCAGCAAUGAAUGGCAAAGAGAUCGUACGGGACAACAUGAAGGAAGAUUAAAUUAAGCAUUACAACAAAAGAAUUAUAUGAUGCACAUCAACAUAAUUGCAGCAUUGAUGCAUUGCAGUAAACCAGGAUACAUAGGAGUACCAUAAAAGGAUCUGCGCAGAUAAAAAUGAUAGCAGAGGUUUAAUGAAUAAUUUCGUCGAUUAACGUCUGAUUCCUGUUCUCCAAUACCGCAACACGAUUUUCUAAGCACUUUAUAUAUUCUUUUUUCUUUCUUCUACAUUCACGCGCCGCCUCCCUAAAUACAUUAAAGAUAUAGAGCAACCUUAAUUCUCUCUUUCGCGCCGCAUCUUCCACUACAACCCCAUGACCUGUGUAAGCUGGAACAUUGUAAGAGACUGCACUUUUCAAAUUUUUGCGUUAUGCGCGUCAAAAUUUUAUAUGAUUUUCUACUAAACUCUGCUUAUUUUACUCGAUAAGAAUUAUAAUCAUAUUUGUCAAAAGAAAAUAGCUUAGACCAUGUAUCAAACUGUAUUGUCAAAUUUAUAUGAUGUAUGUAUUACUGGUAUAUUAAUACAAUAUAAUAUAUUACUUUUUUAUAUAUAAAUUAAACUAUAAUUGCACAUAUAACAAUAUUAUAGUAAUAUGCUGAAAAAGAAAAAUUACAAUAAUGUAUUAUUUCAGAAUAAUACAAUAUUGUUAUAAAAA
Molecule: long non-coding RNA, 757 nt
Organism: Cataglyphis hispanica
Lineage: Eukaryota; Metazoa; Arthropoda; Insecta; Hymenoptera; Formicidae
Exons: 5
Source: RefSeq, a predicted model, not a curated record